GUGCAUAUGUGCAGCACAUACACUAAAAUCAGAGCAAUACAGAGAUUAUCAUGGCCCCUGAGCAAGGAUGACAUACAAAUAAUGUUUAAGCCUUUAGAUGGUU
Molecule: small nuclear RNA, 103 nt
Organism: Cavia porcellus (domestic guinea pig)
Lineage: Eukaryota; Metazoa; Chordata; Mammalia; Rodentia; Caviidae
Source: Ensembl